UGAGCAACCUGCCCUUCACUCUGGGAUAACUCCGGGAAACCGGGGCUAAUACUGGAUAUGACUCGAACAGGCAUCUGUUUCGGGUGGAAAGAUUUAUUGGUGGAGGAUGGACUCGCGGCCUAUCAGCUUGUUGGUGUGGGUAAUGGCCCACAAGGCGACGACGGGUAGCCGGCCUGAGAGGGUGACCGGCCACACGUGGGACUGAGACACGGCCCAGACUCCUACGGGAGCA
RNAcentral lists this ribosomal RNA (232 nucleotides) under uncultured bacterium. RNAcentral's name for it is "partial 16S ribosomal RNA". It matches the Rfam family "Bacterial small subunit ribosomal RNA", at positions 118 to 347 of the family's 1533-position model. The record is from RNAcentral.